RNAcentral lists this ribosomal RNA (554 nucleotides) under uncultured bacterium. RNAcentral describes it as "bacterial SSU rRNA". It matches the Rfam family "Bacterial small subunit ribosomal RNA", at positions 224 to 795 of the family's 1533-position model. The record is from RNAcentral.
GAUGGGCCCGCAUCUGAUUAGCUAGUUGGUGAGAUAACAGCCCACCAAGGCGACGAUCAGUAGCCGACCUGAGAGGGUGAUCGGCCACAUUGGGACUGAGACACGGCCCAAACUCCUACGGGAGGCAGCAGUGGGGAAUAUUGCACAAUGGGGGAAACCCUGAUGCAGCGACGCCGCGUGGAGGAAGAAGGUCUUCGGGUUGUAAACUCCUGUUGUUGAGGAAGAUAAUGACGGUACUCAACAAGGAAGUGACGGCUAACUACGUGCCAGCAGCCGCGGUAAAACGUAGGUCACAAGCGUUGUCCGGAAUUACUGGGUGUAAAGGGAGCGCAGGCGGGAAGACAAGUUGGAAGUGAAAUCUAUGGGCUUAACCCAUAAACUGCUUUCAAAACUGUUUUUCUUGAGUAGUGCAGAGGUAGGCGGAAUUCCCGGUGUAGCGGUGGAAUGCGUAGAUAUCGGGAGGAACACCAGUGGCGAAGGCGGCCUACUGGGCACCAACUGACGCUGAGGCUCGAAAGUGUGGGUAGCAAACAGGAUUAGAUACCCUGGUAGUC